RNAcentral lists this ribosomal RNA (1358 nucleotides) under Amblyospora shegaria. RNAcentral's name for it is "SSU rRNA". It matches the Rfam family "Microsporidia small subunit ribosomal RNA". Lineage: Eukaryota; Fungi; Microsporidia; Amblyosporidae. The record is from RNAcentral.
UGACGUGGACGCUUGCCCCGAAGAUUAAGCCAUGCAAGUCUGUGAAUGUUWUGGAACAGUGUACGGCUCAGUAUAACACGUCUAUCUACCCAACCCUUGUGUAUAACCAUGGUAAACUAUGGCUAAUGGGAUGGAUGAGGAUGUGACCUAUCAGCUUGACGGUACGAUAAGUGCGUACCGAGGCGAUAACGGGUAACGGGGAAUAUGGGUUUUAUUCCGGAGAGGGAGCCUGAGAGAUGGCUGCCACGUCCAAGGACGGCAGCAGGCGCGAAACUUACCCAAUGAACAUUGAGGUAGUUACGGGGCGUACUUGUAUGCAGCAUGUGUAAACACCAUGCCGAAGUACUGGAGGGCAAGUCUGGUGCCAGCAGCCGCGGUAAUUCCAGCUCCAGUAGCGUCUGUGUUUAUUGCUGCGGUUAAAAUGUGCGUAGUCUGGCGGUGUAGAGUGCGUUAAAUUUACAUUUUCAUAGUGUAGACAAUGACACUUACUACAGCCUUGAGACAGGGAAGAGGUGAUGUUAUUUGGUAGCGAGAGGUGACAAUCGAUGACCUACCAAGGAGCACCAGAGGCGAAAGCGAUCACCGAGAACUGGUCUGACGAUCAAGCACGUGAGCAGGAGUAUCGAAGAGGAUUAGAGACCCACGUAGUUCCUUGCAGUCAACAAUGCCAACACUGUGGUGCUAUCAUAAGCAUUGCAGAAGCGAAAGCUAGUGUAUGGGCUCCGGGGAUAGUACGGACGCAAGUUUGAAACUUGAAGAAAUUGACGGAAGGACACCACAAGGAGUGGAGUGUGCGGGUUAAUUUGACUCAACGCGGGAAAACUUACCCGGGCAGGCGAUUGUCGAGCGAAGAUCAUAUCUGAUGACAUCGCGCGAGGUGCAUGGCCGUUCUUAACACGUGGAGUGAUCUGUCUGGUCAAAUCUGAUAACGCGUGAGAGGUGAGUAUAUGUACUAAGUACGUAUAGACGAUGUCUGUAAAGACAAGGAAGCGACACCCAAUAACAGGUCCGUGAUGCCCGUAGAUGUCCGGGGCUCCACGCGCACUACAAUGGUAGGUGCUAUGUUAAAGUGGUGCCUAUCGUAGUUGGGAUUGACAUAUGUAAUUAUGUCAUGAACGUGGAAUUCCUAGUAGUUGGUAGUCACUAACGACCAACGAAUAUGUCCCUGUUCUUUGUACACACCGCCCGUCGUUAUCUAAGAUGGAGGUGCGGGUGAAGAUGCGAGUGUCGUGAGGUUUGAUAAGGGGAGGAWGUAUGAGGCGAGGUGUGAUGAUAUUUAUAUCGUCAUAUUAAACCGAGUAUGUACGACGCUGUCUGACUGACAUGAGCAUAAGAACCCGUGCAGCUAGAUUGGAUGU